AACGAACGCUGGCGGCAGGCCUAACACAUGCAAGUCGAGCGGGGGAGCAAUCCCUAGCGGCGGACGGGUGAGUAACGCGUGGGAACGUACCCUUUGCUUCGGAAUAGCCCCCGGGAAACUGGGAGUAAUACCGGAUGUGCCCUACGGGGGAAAGAAUUUCGGCAAAGGAUCGGCCCGCGUUGGAUUAGGUAGUUGGUGGGGUAAUGGCCUACCAAGCCGACGAUCCAUAGCUGGUUUGAGAGGAUGAUCAGCCACACUGGGACUGAGACACGGCCCAGACUCCUACGGGAGGCAGCAGUGGGGAAUCUUAGACAAUGGGCGGCAAGCCUGAUCUAGCCAUGCCGCGUGAGCGAUGAAGGCCUUAGGGUUGGUAAAGACUCUUUCG
Molecule: ribosomal RNA, 385 nt
Filed under: uncultured bacterium
Lineage: Bacteria
Description: bacterial SSU rRNA
Rfam family: Bacterial small subunit ribosomal RNA
Source: RNAcentral